AGGAGAACGUUGCCACUCCUUGAGCGGCAAGGAUAACAUUUUGACGAUUUCUAAUAUUGACACCUAUGUAUACAAUAAUGCACAGAUAAACAUCCAUUCCGGUUGCAGUUUUGCUAGUGCUGGGAUCAGGCCACUUUAUGUUUUUCUUUUUCUAUGGCCAUUCUCUUUUGAGGGAGAAUGGUGUCUGAAUCAGCGGUAAGAUUCAUAACUAACGUGUUCACAGCCUUAGCCAGGCGUUAUGUGGGUUAAAAAGGUUCAUCUUCUUAUAAAGGUGUUUCAGUUCUCCUAUGCUAACGGGUAUCAAUGGUUUGUCUCUGUGGUCGUAUGUGCCAGUGCUACCCUACUGCAGGCAAUGCAUGGCAUGACACAAAUUAUAAUGAUUAUUCAACUUCGAUACACGAGUUCAGGGGACGGAAAGCCUUUGAAGACACGGAUUUUAUAAUGCCAAAUUAGAGCUAGAGCAAAGAAUAAGGAUGCUCAUUAUUAAUAUUAUUAUUAUUUAUCUGAAGAAAGAAACUAUUAUUCAAGAAGGAUGCAUGCCUGCCGAUUAUUUUGUAGUAAAAAGAAAAGCCCAUUUAUACUUUAACUCGGCUGCCAGGGAAAUAUGUUCACUUGGUUCACAAACGAUGAACUAUUGGCAACCAAGCAAAUCAUACAAUAAUAAAAAUUAAAUUCAGUAUUUGGUUUUAGUGAUAAGG
RNAcentral lists this unclassified non-coding RNA (698 nucleotides) under Hevea brasiliensis (rubber tree). Lineage: Eukaryota; Viridiplantae; Streptophyta; Magnoliopsida; Malpighiales; Euphorbiaceae. The record is from RNAcentral.